AAUCAGAGCAGAAUUAGGGGCCACCUUGGUUUUAUUUUCUUUCUCUGAUAAAAGUGAAGUAGGGCACAAGACCCUGCCCAGUUCUUUUCCUACAGGCCUUUGAACAUUCCCCAGCAAAGUGAGAAGGGAAAGCUCAGGGCUACCUCCAGUGCUAGCGCAGAGGGCGGGAGUAUCAGCUGGCUGGCUGGAGCUGGCCAAGCCCCUCCUCUCCUCCUCCUGCUUCCCCCUCCAUCCAGGCUCCACCGGGAACCUGUCCCAGACGCCUACCCCGCCUGAGCCAGAGGAAGGGAGGAAAACAAUAGCAAAAACCAGGACCCUUCGGACUUGCCGCUGAAUGGGGAUUUUCGUCGGAUGUUGAGUUUACCUGGAAUGCCCCGGUGUUAUUUUGGGAAGGCAGACAUCCCACGGAAACAAUGAAGUGGAAAAGAAAACAGCUAAAGCAAAAUCUAGAGCCCAGUUUUUGCCAAACCAGCCCCACGUGGGCUGGGCAGGCUCUGGAAGCCCAAGUCAGGCCGAUGAAGAGCGGCUGAGGCCGUGGGGAUCUGGUUUACCAGGAGGGCACAUGGAGGAUGCAAGAAAAGGAAGAGCCGUAUUCAAGUCCCCACUUCAGUGAUGAGGCAGAAAGACCCUGCGCCUGACCACGUGGGAACAGCCUGCAGUGAGCGGUGACGCCGCCUGGCUUGAGCUAAGUGCUGGGCUCCACCAUUCAUUGGCUGAGUGACCUUAGAUGAGAAGAGAAUGAGCCAUGUGUUUCCUGAAACAUCCAGUGGCCUCACCGGAGAAUCUGCAAGAGCCGGUAAACCCAGAAGCUUGGCCGUCCAUUCCUGGAAGCAGACAUUGUGUCUUCGUCCACCAAGCCCCUGGCUCUCAACACUCACUGUGGUGGCAAGAACAUGGCACCUUGACCCUACACAGUUCUUCCAUUUUUCAGAAGCAGCUCCAGACCCUUGUCCCCAGGUUUUGACCCCACCCAGACCUUUGCCUGGGACGGAAAGCUGCUUCAUUUCAGGAGACACCUGAAGUACCUGGGUUGGUUCAGAGACUACCAGAAGUUUUUGGACUUCUUCUAGUCCUUUAAUGGCCAAAAGGACUCAAGGGCCUGGCAUGUAAUGGAAAAGGCAUCACCUCUCUCAUGGAACGCAGCUGGAAGGACCAACCCCUUCAUAGUUACAGGAAUCUGAGCUAUGAAGACACUAGCCAGGCAACAAGGCCCUGGGCUCAGACACAGAUGAAGUUUCUCUGGAAGAGAAAUCUGGCCUGUUACAGACCUGGGAAGUGCCAAGGCUUAGCUCCUGAGAAGGAUUGCUGGUGCUGACAGCUGGGAGUCAGGACUCCAGGGCCACUUGUAUGGAAGCUGGUGCCCGUGGUGCAGGAGGAUGGGGGCUCUGGAUUCUGCACCACCCCCCAUAGACUGGCCCCUCAGAGGGCUCCUGUGGUGUCAGAGCCCUCUCACAAGCGCCUGCCGUGGUUAUCAGCUGAAGCUGAGUGCUUGUGGAGUGUGGACAGAGGGCAGAGGGAGAGAAGCAGCCAUGGGCUUCCUGCCAGGAAGCUCAGCAGCUCCGAGGAGACUGGAGAGUCAUGGGACACAGUGCGUCCUCCCCAGAACAGCCUCCAGCCUGCCAGUUCAGAGCACACGCUUGGAGGCAGGAAGGCUGAGGUCCAACCCCAUUCCUGCUAUGGGCCAGCUGAGAGCUGUGGACAAGUCAUUCGGCUUCUCUGAGCCGCAGUCUUCUCACCUGUAAAGCGGGGGUAAUAAUACCCUCCUCACAAGGUUGUUGCAAGGCUUUGUGGGGAAAAAUACAAAGUGCACAGAGUUGUUCAGUAAGGCGUGGGCCUGCGGGGAAAGGCGGGGCCAUGAGCUGGCCAGGGGAGGAAAGGACAGAUGGGGACUCCAGAUAAUGAAAGCAUCUUUGCAUCCUCAAUGAUAUAAUCUGGGUUUGUUGUUGUUGUUGUUGUUUGAGACAGAGUCUCGCUCUGUCCCCCAGGCUGGAGUGCAGUGGUGCAAUUUCAGCUCACUGCAACCUGUACUUCCCGGGUUCAAGUGAUUCUCCUGCCUCAGCUUCCUGAGUAGCUGGGAUUACAGGUGCCCGCCACCAUGCCUGGCUAAUUUUUCUGUUUUUAAUAGAGACAGGGUUUCGCCAUGUUGGCCAGGAUGGCCUCGAGCUCCUGACCUCAGCUGAUCCACCCUCCUCAGCCUCCCAAAGUGCUGCGAUUACAGGCAUGAGCCACCGCGCCCGGCCCAUCUGGAGUUUUUUUGUUUGUUUGUUCCUCAUAAAGGCUACGAGGAGAGGAAGGGGCCUAGAACACAGGAUGGUGGAAGAGGGGCUCAUGGGUGGAGGGGAGGAGAGCAGAUGAGCAGGGACCCUCCCCCUUCCUCGGCAACCAUGGGGUUUGCCACACAUAUAUUUUUGAUGUCCCAUGUAUCAGGUGGAGAUGUCAACUUCUAUGAACUGAAAUAAACUGUUUCCCUAUGUGUAAAAUGAAGGGCACUUCAAGUCUGUCCAAGUACAACCAGGUGUCUCUAGAUACCCCGAGCCUGAGAAAUCACCC
This 2550-nucleotide long non-coding RNA is filed under the name Homo sapiens (human). Its description in RNAcentral is "non-protein coding LINC01936:18". Lineage: Eukaryota; Metazoa; Chordata; Mammalia; Primates; Hominidae. The record is from RNAcentral.